GUCGGAGUGGCGCAAGGGUGCUUAACACGUGGGCAAUCUGCCGUGAAGCCUGGAAUAACUCGCUGAAAGGCGAGCUAAUGCCGGAUGUGAAAAUCGGGAGGCAUCUUUUGAUUUUCAAAGCUGGGGACCGCAAGGCCUGGCACUUCACGAUGAGCCCGCGGCCUAUCAGCUAGUUGGCGAGGUAACGGCUCACCAAGGCUUAGACGGGUAGCUGGUCUGAGAGGACGACCAGCCACACUGGAACUGAGACACGGUCCAGACACCUACGGGUGGCAGCAGUCGAGAAUUUUUCUCAAUGGGCGAAAGCCUGAAGGAGCGACGCCGCGUGGGGGAUGAAUGGCUUCGGCCCGUAAACCCCUGUCAUUCGCGAUCAAAUGUUAUUAUUUAAAAGAUGAUGACCUGAUAGUAGCGGAAGAGGAAGGGACGGCUAACUCUGUGCCAGCAGCCGCGGUAAUACAGAGGUCCCAAGCGUUGUUCGGAUUCACUGGGCGUAAAGGGUGCGUAGGUGGUCAGGUAAGUCGGAUGUGAAAGCUCGGAGCUCAACUCCGAAAUGGCAUUGGAAACUACCUGGCUCGAGGAAUGGAGGGGGGACUGGAAUUCUCGGUGUAGCAGUGAAAUGCGUAGAUAUCGAGAGGAACACCAGUGGCGAAGGCGAGUCCCUGGACAUCUCCUGACACUGAGGCACGAAAGCUAGGGGAGCAAACAGGAUUAGAUACCCUGGUAGUCCUAGCCGUAAACGGUGCAUGCUUGCUGUAAAAGGAAUCGACCCCUUUUGUGGCGGAGCCAACGCGUUAAGCAUGCCGCCUGGGAAGUACGGUCGCAAGAUUAAAACUCAAAGAAAUUGACGGGGGCCUGCACAAGCGGUGGAGUAUGUGGCUCAAUUCAAUGCAACGCGAAGAAC
RNAcentral lists this ribosomal RNA (901 nucleotides) under uncultured bacterium. RNAcentral's name for it is "bacterial SSU rRNA". It matches the Rfam family "Bacterial small subunit ribosomal RNA", at positions 89 to 969 of the family's 1533-position model. The record is from RNAcentral.